RNAcentral lists this ribosomal RNA (400 nucleotides) under uncultured bacterium. RNAcentral describes it as "partial 16S ribosomal RNA". It matches the Rfam family "Bacterial small subunit ribosomal RNA", at positions 361 to 776 of the family's 1533-position model. The record is from RNAcentral.
AUAUUGCACAAUGGAGGAAACUCUGAUGCAGCGACGGCGCUUGAGUGAAGUAGGUCAUCGGAUCGUAAAACUCUGUCCUUGGUGAAGAUAGAAAUGACGGUAGCUAAGGAGGAAGCCCCGGCUAACUACGUGCCAGCAGCCGCGGUAAUACGUAGGGGGCGAGCGUUGUCCGGGUUUACUGGGCGUAAAGGGUGAGUAGGCGGUGAUAUGUGUCAGAUGAAAAAGGCUAUGGCUUAACUAUAGUUAGCAUUUGAAACUGUAUUACUUGAGUGCAGGAGAGGUAAGUGGAAUUCCUAGUGUAGCGGUGAAAUGCGUAGAUAUUAGGAGGAACACCAGUGGCGAAGGCGACUUACUGGACUGUAACUAACGCUGAGUCACGAAAGCGUGGGUAGCAAACAGG